Molecule: ribosomal RNA, 468 nt
Filed under: uncultured bacterium
Lineage: Bacteria
Description: partial 16S ribosomal RNA
Rfam family: Bacterial small subunit ribosomal RNA
Source: RNAcentral
GAUGAACGCUGGCGGCGUGCUUAACACAUGCAAGUCGAACGGAAAGGCCCAAGCUUGCUUGGGUACUCGAGUGGCGAACGGGUGAGUAACACGUGGGUGAUCUGCCCUGCACUUCGGGAUAAGCCUGGGAAACUGGGUCUAAUACCGGAUAGGACGAUGGUUUGGAUGCCAUUGUGGAAAGUUUUUUCGGUGUGGGAUGAGCUCGCGGCCUAUCAGCUUGUUGGUGGGGUAAUGGCCUACCAAGGCGUCGACGGGAAGCCGGCCUGAGAGGGUGUACGGCCACAUUGGGACUGAGAUACGGCCCAGACUCCUACGGGAGGCAGCAGUGGGGAAUAUUGCACAAUGGGCGCAAGCCUGAUGCAGCGACGCCGCGUGGGGGAUGACGGCCUUCGGGUUGUAAACUCCUUUCGCUAGGGACGAAGCGUUUUUGUGACGGUACCUGGAGAAGAAGCACCGGCUAACUACGUG